Molecule: ribosomal RNA, 463 nt
Filed under: uncultured bacterium
Lineage: Bacteria
Description: bacterial SSU rRNA
Rfam family: Bacterial small subunit ribosomal RNA
Source: RNAcentral
AGAGUUUGAUCAUGGCUCAGGAUGAAUGCUGGCGGCGUGCCUAAUACAUGCAAGUCGAGCGGUAAGGCCCUUCGGGGUACACGAGCGGCGGACGGCUGAGUAACGCGUGGGAACAUGCCCCAAAGUGAGGGAUAACGCACCGAAAGGUGUGCUAAUACCGCAUAUGGUCUUCGGAUUAAAGGAUUUAUCCGCUUUGGGAGUGGCCCGCGUACGAUUAGAUUGUUGGUGAGGUAACGGCUCACCAAGUCGACGAUCGUUAACUGGUCUGAGAGGAUGAUCAGUCAGACUGGAACUGAGACACGGUCCAGACUCCUACGGGAGGCAGCAGUAAGGAAUCUUCCACAAUGGGCGAAAGCCUGAUGGAGCAACGCCGCGUGCAGGAAGAAGGCCCUCGGGUCGUAAACUGCUUUUAUGAGUGAAGAAUAUGACGGUAACUCAUGAAUAAGCACCGGCUAACUACGUG